UACGUAGGGGCGAGCGUUGUCCGGAAUGAUUGGGCGUAAAGGGCGCGUAGGCGGCUUGUUAAGUCUGGAGUGGAAGUCCUCUUUUUAAGGGAGGAAUUGCUUUGGAAACUGGCGAGCUUGAGUGCAGGAGAGGUUAUCGGAAUUCCCGGUGUAGCGGUGAAAUGCGUAGAGAUCGGGAGGAAUACCGAAGGCGAAGGCAGUCUUCCAAGCCGUUAUUGACGCUCAACUGCGAAGGUGUGGGUAUCAAACAGGAUUAGAUACCCUGGUAGUCCCUGAGCGGGCU
RNAcentral lists this ribosomal RNA (283 nucleotides) under uncultured prokaryote. RNAcentral's name for it is "partial 16S ribosomal RNA". It matches the Rfam family "Bacterial small subunit ribosomal RNA", at positions 524 to 817 of the family's 1533-position model. The record is from RNAcentral.